Molecule: long non-coding RNA, 521 nt
Filed under: Hordeum vulgare
Lineage: Eukaryota; Viridiplantae; Streptophyta; Magnoliopsida; Poales; Poaceae
Description: long non-coding RNA (HVUL_LNC018060)
Source: RNAcentral
GUGCCCAUGCCCAUGUGUUGAGUUGUAUUCCUUCGGAGGUGGUGAUGUUAGAGUUGCUGGUGAGGUUGAAAGCUUAUCGAGUUUCCACUUAAGUAUGAAUUUUUGUCCCCUCAGAUCGUCUACUUCUAGCUCGGUCCUCAAUAUCCUUUGAUAUAGUUCACCCUUGCUCUCCUGCAGAAAAAGAGAAGGGAUAAAUAACACCUUGGGUUUUCUCCUUGUAUUUGGGAGGCUCGACUUCUUGAACUCCACAUGCAUAUCUUCAGGUUGAGGCAGGGGAAUCUCCUCUUCAUCCAAGCUUUCUUCCACAUACUUAUAUGUCUUCGUUCCUCCUCCGAGCACAAUCCAUAGGUAUUUACGUCCCCAUAGAGUUUGGGAUUGGCAAGAUAGUGUGAAACAUAGCUCUCCCCAUCGGAAUCUUGGGACGACAUCUUACUCUAAAUCUGCUGCAACAACAGCUCAAAACGAAAACAUGAGAUAUUGUCGAGAUACAGAGGUCAAAACCUUUGGGAGAUUAUAUAAUG